RNAcentral lists this ribosomal RNA (253 nucleotides) under uncultured bacterium. RNAcentral describes it as "partial 16S ribosomal RNA". It matches the Rfam family "Bacterial small subunit ribosomal RNA", at positions 524 to 776 of the family's 1533-position model. The record is from RNAcentral.
UACGUAGGGUGCGAGCGUUGUCCGGAAUUAUUGGGCGUAAAGGGCUCGUAGGCGGUUUGUCGCGUCGGGAGUGAAAACCAGGUGCUUAACACCUGGCUUGCUUUCGAUACGGGCAGACUAGAGGUAUGCAGGGGAGAACGGAAUUCCUGGUGUAGCGGUGAAAUGCGCAGAUAUCAGGAGGGACACCGGUGGCGAAGGCGGUUCUCUGGGCAUUACCUGACGCUGAGGAGCGAAAGUGUGGGGAGCGAACAGG